RNAcentral lists this long non-coding RNA (2479 nucleotides) under Ananas comosus (pineapple). Its description in RNAcentral is "long non-coding RNA (ACOM_LNC018968)". The record is from RNAcentral. Lineage: Eukaryota; Viridiplantae; Streptophyta; Magnoliopsida; Poales; Bromeliaceae.
AAAUGGAAAGAAAUCGUGGCCUAUCGAGGGGCAAACCACGGCCGUCCGAGGUCGUGGAUGAGGAGGAUGAGGGAGAAGACGAAAAUGGUGGAGGGCAAAAUGGUCAUUUUUCACACCGUACCCCCUCUGUGCAUAUUUUUUAUUUUAUAAGGGGGCAAAGCGUAGGUUUUUAAAUAACAGGAGGGAAAAGUGAAAAAGCGAAUUUUGACAGGGGGAUUUUAUGUAAUUUAGCCUAAUUCUUUUAUGUUUACCUCAUAAAUAAUCUCGACCUUGUUAAUGAAAAAAUCUAGAAUGCACCAGGAAUAUUACUGAUGUGGCGUCCCCAAUUAAUAAAAUUAUUCCCCUUGGGUUGAUACGUCCCAUCAUGAUUAAUAAAAAAAUAUUUUUAUUGUACUUUUUUUUUUUUUUUUUCAAAUAGAGAGAUAUGAUUGACUUGUUACUGAUGAUUAUGUGGUAUAAGUGUGAUAUAGUAAACUUCCUCCUUAUUAAUUCGAUCUCUCUUUGUGUGACACAAAAAGUUAAGAUUUAAAAGAGAGAGAGAGAAAGGGAGAGUAUAAUUAAUGUUUCUCAGGUUUGAUCUCUCAUAAUCAUAUAGUUAAGUAGCAAUUACAAUACAUUCCCUUGCAAUAAUAAUCUUUUCCUGUGCUUGUUUACUAGUCAUUGUCUAAGAAUCAUGAGCUUAUAACAGCCUGAGAAUUGGCUGACUCAGAUGAUUAGGAUCCAGUUGGAAAAAGACCAAAAGGAGGGGGGAAAAAAAUCAUUAGGUUUUAAGUUUUAACCUAAUCUUGUCACCAUUAGAUUGGUCCUUACAUUCUUAACAAAAAAAAGAAAAAAAAGAAAAUUCUAAUUAUAUUUUCUAACAUUGUUUGUCAUCAUCUAUCAUUUGGACAUACUCAAUAGGUGGAUACAAUUUUAAAGGUGUAGGUGCAGGGAAACAUGGACAAAUUCUCUCUACAUUCUUCAUUCAUCAUGCUUUAGUUAGCAAAUAUACUUAAUUUUUCUUUUUUUUUUUUGAGAGAUAGGUAGCACGCUACCCGCUUCGUUUAUUUCAUUUAGAAAUAAACUUAGCUAGAAAUGUAAAUAAACUAGGAUUCGAACUUGGGUCUCGGGUACCAACCACCAAACCCUUUAUCAUUUGCUCUAGGGACGGUCGGUAGCAAAUACACUUAAUUAUUUGCACUUAGGUGUGUCCUAAGUUCCUAACCUGAAUAAACACCAACAUGGAAAGAUCUUUCUAUGUUCUCUUUCCUUUUCUUUCACAAGACACCUCUCUCUCUCUCUCUCUCUCUCUCUCUCUCUCUCUCUCUCUCUCUGCGCGCGCGUGCGUACAUGCACAUGCAAGCAUGCAUGUAUGGAAAGUCCUCUUAGGGAUCUAUAUGUGUCUAUCACAAACAGAUCACUACAUGUAACUUUUGAAUUGAUUUCAAUAGACAAUAUUUUGAUAAUUUAUCAAGUAGAUGAGUUUUUAUGUCCGUGGUUUCGUCUAAUUGGAUUAACCAAUCCUAUGUGCUGAGUGAGUUACAGGAAGAGAGAGUCUCUAGACCAUGUCAUUAAUACUCCAAAUUAAUUAGUAAGAAAACCAUAGUGGGUCAUGAUUAAGCACCAUUUAGUGACUAAUUGUGUCAUAGUCCUACUCUAAUGCUCGUCACAUUUGCCUUUUCCCUCAUCUAUUUUCACACAUAGUAUGCCCUAGGAAUCCCCAGGAAGAGAUUUUUGUUGUUAAAAAUUGCAAAAGAGACCAAAAAUGAGUUGAUUUUAGAUGAUAGGUGCCACCUAAUAUUUGUCCUUUGGAAUGUCAUUUUAUCGCCGAGGCUUUUCGCUUGGUUUGUCUCACUAAUUAUUGUUUCUUCUCUCUAGAUUCUGAUGUGAUCUGAAUUUACGGAUCUUUAAUUAAUUGUAAGUGCUUUCUUAGUAAAUACAAAAGGAUGAGUCAUUUAAAGCUAUAAGAAGUUUGUAAAUUCGUUUAGAAUCAUAAUUGGAUUGCUUUACAGAAAUCGAAUAUAUAUAUUCAUCAAAAACAAGCGCACAGCUUUAACUUAAGCUCAAACUCAAAGUCCUUUAAUCUUUAAUCUUAAGUCAAAUUCAAACUGUUACAAAUGAGUUGAUUAAGACAUCUUGGAAGUACUGAUUAAUGGUACUUAGUUUUUUUUAUAUAGAGAGAGACUUUAAUUUGAUGAAAAAUACAUUGCAAAACCUCUAUAUAAUUAAUUAACAUCCUUGAAUUAUGCUACUAUACUAUCAAUAGUAUCAAGUCCUUGGUACUAUUGAGUUUUCGGCCGUUGGAUGAAAGGAUGUGCGGUUAGGAUGAUAGUGGUCCCCGAUUAAAUUGAUAGUGGUCCCCUAGGGUUGAGUGGGUGGUUGGUUUAAUAGUAUAAUCUAACGGUUGGAAAUGAUCAAAGGGUAGAUCUAAUUGUAGAAAACUCAAUAAUACCAAGGGCUUGGUACUAUCGAUAGUAUAGUAGCCGGACUCUCUCUCUCU